RNAcentral lists this ribosomal RNA (501 nucleotides) under uncultured bacterium. RNAcentral describes it as "partial 16S ribosomal RNA". It matches the Rfam family "Bacterial small subunit ribosomal RNA", at positions 29 to 523 of the family's 1533-position model. The record is from RNAcentral.
AUUGAACGCUGGCGGCAUGCCUUACACAUGCAAGUCGAACGGCAGCACGGGUGCUUGCACCUGGUGGCGAGUGGCGAACGGGUGAGUAAUACAUCGGAACGUACCUUAUCGUGGGGGAUAACGCAGCGAAAGCUGUGCUAAUACCGCAUACGCCCUGAGGGGGAAAGCGGGGGAUCGCAAGACCUCGCGCGAUUAGAGCGGCCGAUGCCUGAUUAGCUAGUUGGUGGGGUAAAAGCCCACCAAGGCGACGAUCAGUAGCUGGUCUGAGAGGACGAGCAGCCACACUGGGACUGAGACACGGCCCAGACUCCUGCGGGAGGCAGCAGUGGGGAAUUUUGGACAAUGGGGGCAACCCUGAUCCAGCAAUGCCGCGUGAGUGAAGGAGGCCUUCGGGUUGUAAAGCUCUUUUGUCAGGGAAGAAACACCGGCUCUAACACAGUCCGGGAAUGACGGUACCUGAAGAAUAAGCACCGGCUAACUACGUGCCAGCCGCCGCCGUAA